CUUGACAUCCAGCGAACUUUCCAGAGAUGGAUUGGUGCCUUCGGGAACGCUGAGACAGGUGCUGCAUGGCUGUCGUCAGCUCGUGUUGUGAAAUGUUGGGUUAAGUCCCGNAACGAGCGCAACCCUUUAUCCUUUGUUGCCAGCGAUUCGGUCGGGAACUCAAAGGAGACUGCCGGUGAUAAACCGGAGGAAGGUGGGGAUGACGUCAAGUCAUCAUGGCCCUUACGAGUAGGGCUACACACGUGCUACAAUGGCGCAUACAAAGAGAAGCGACCUCGCGAGAGCAAGCGGACCUCAUAAAGUGCGUCGUAGUCCGGAUCGGAGUCUGCAACUCGACUCCGUGAAGUCGGAAUCGCUAGUAAUCGUGGAUCAGAAUGCCACGGUGAAUACGUUCCCGGGCCUUGUACACACCGCCCGUCACACCAUGGGAGUGGGUUGCAAAAGAAGUAGGUAGCUUAACCCUCGGGAGGGCGCUUACCACUUUGUGAUUCAUGACUGGGGUGAAGUCGUAACAAGGUAAGCGUAGCGAG
Molecule: ribosomal RNA, 530 nt
Filed under: uncultured bacterium
Lineage: Bacteria
Description: bacterial SSU rRNA
Rfam family: Bacterial small subunit ribosomal RNA
Source: RNAcentral